Molecule: long non-coding RNA, 209 nt
Filed under: Gossypium raimondii (Peruvian cotton)
Lineage: Eukaryota; Viridiplantae; Streptophyta; Magnoliopsida; Malvales; Malvaceae
Description: long non-coding RNA (GRAI_LNC007979)
Source: RNAcentral
AGCCUGUACUUCUCUAGCUGCCGCAUCUGCUUCUCUUACUGCCGCAUCUGCUUUAAGCUGCUGCUGGAGUUCUUCAUACUUUCGUUGAACCUCAGCUUCUCUCGCUGCUGCAUCUGCUUUCAGUUGUAGCUGGAGUUCUUCAUAUCUUUUUUGAACCUCAACUUCUCUCGAUGUUGCCUCCGCUUUAAGUUGUGUAAUUUGCUCAAUUG